This 433-nucleotide ribosomal RNA is filed under the name uncultured bacterium. RNAcentral's name for it is "bacterial SSU rRNA". It matches the Rfam family "Bacterial small subunit ribosomal RNA", at positions 29 to 507 of the family's 1533-position model. The record is from RNAcentral.
AACGAACGCUGGCGGCAUGCCUAACACAUGCAAGUCGAACGAACCCUUCGGGGUUAGUGGCGCACGGGUGCGUAACGCGUGGGAACCUACCAUCAGGUUCGGAAUAACAGUUAGAAAUGACUGCUAAUACCGGAUAAUGUCUUCGGACCAAAGAUUUAUCGCCUUUUGAUGGGCCCGCGUAAGAUUAGGUAGUUGGUGGGGUAAAAGCCUACCAAGCCGACGAUCUUUAGCUGGUCUGAGAGGAUGAUCAGCCACACUGGGACUGAGACACGGCCCAGACUCCUACGGGAGACAGCAGUGGGGAAUAUUGGACAAUGGGCGAAAGCCUGAUCCAGCAAUGCCGCGUGACUGAUGAAGGCCUUAGGGUUGUAAAGCUCUUUUACCAGGGAUGAUAAUGACAGUACCUGGAGAAUAAGCUCCGGCUAACUCCGUG